GAUGAACGCUGGCGGCGUGCUUAACACAUGCAAGUCGAACGAAGCACCUUGAUUUGAUUCUUCGGAUGAAGAUCUUGGUGACUGAGUGGCGGACGGGUGAGUAACGCGUGGGUAACCUGCCUCGUACAGGGGGAUAACAGUUAGAAAUGACUGCUAAUACCGCAUAAGACCACAGCACCGCAUGGUGCAGGGGUAAAAACUCCGGUGGUAUGAGAUGGACCCGCGUCUGAUUAGGUAGUUGGUGGGGUAACGGCCUACCAAGCCGACGAUCAGUAGCCGACCUGAGAGGGUGACCGGCCACAUUGGGACUGAGACACGGCCCAAACUCCUACGGGAGGCAGCAGGGGGGAAUAUUGCACAAUGGGGGAAACCCUGAUGCAGCGACGCCGCGUGAGCGAUGAAGUAUUUCGGUAUGUAAAGCUCUAUCAGCAGGGAAGAAAAUGACGGUACCUGACUAAGAAGCACCGGCUAAAUACGU
Molecule: ribosomal RNA, 478 nt
Filed under: uncultured bacterium
Lineage: Bacteria
Description: partial 16S ribosomal RNA
Rfam family: Bacterial small subunit ribosomal RNA
Source: RNAcentral